Molecule: ribosomal RNA, 497 nt
Filed under: uncultured bacterium
Lineage: Bacteria
Description: partial 16S ribosomal RNA
Rfam family: Bacterial small subunit ribosomal RNA
Source: RNAcentral
GAUGAACGCUGGCGGCGUGCCUAAUACAUGCAAGUCGAGCGAACGGACGAGAAGCUUGCUUCUCUGAUGUUAGCGGCGGACGGGUGAGUAACACGUGGAUAACCUACCUAUAAGACUGGGAUAACUUCGGGAAACCGGAGCUAAUACCGGAUAAUAUUUUGAACCGCAUGGUUCAAAAGUGAAAGACGGUCUUGCUGUCACUUAUAGAUGGAUCCGCGCUGCAUUAGCUAGUUGGUAAGGUAACGGCUUACCAAGGCAACGAUGCAUAGCCGACCUGAGAGGGUGAUCAGCCACACUGGAACUGAGACACGGUCCAGACUCCUACGGGAGGCAGCAGUAGGGAAUCUUCCGCAAUGGGCGAAAGCCUGACGGAGCAACGCCGCGUGAGUGAUGAAGGUCUUCGGAUCGUAAAACUCUGUUAUUAGGGAAGAACAUAUGUGUAAGUAACUGUGCACAUCUUGACAGUACCUAAUCAGAAAGCCACGGCUAACUACGUG